Molecule: long non-coding RNA, 285 nt
Filed under: Prunus persica (peach)
Lineage: Eukaryota; Viridiplantae; Streptophyta; Magnoliopsida; Rosales; Rosaceae
Description: long non-coding RNA (PPER_LNC008327)
Source: RNAcentral
UGAAUGAGUAAGUUGAAACGUGGUGAGUAGUUGAAAAGUUGAAACUUGAAAACCAGCUCGCAAGUAGUGUAUUAUAUAUAUUAGAUUACAUAGAUUGUAAUCACAAACUGAUGACCAGUGUAGUGGUUAAGAGGCUGCAGUUUUUCGGAAGGGGGCUGGGUUCGAGCCCCAGCGUGCGCAGAUGUGUGAGUGUGUUUACAUGUUUAAUAUUUGAAAGUUCAUAUCACGAUAAUAUCGAUAAUAUCGCGAUAUAUUGACCAUUUGAAGCAGGGUAUUGAACGAAAA